GUCCAGAGUCUGUUCCUUCUGAUGUUCGGAUGUGUUCGGAGUUUCUUCCUUCUGGUGGGUUCGUGGUCUCGCUGGCUCGGGAGUGAAGCUGCAGACGUUUGCGAGAAAUCUAAAUACAUGACCACAGUUUGAGCUCCUGUCUGAAGAGAUUUUUUAAAGGCUGUUUUCUCAUUAAAGCUGGGAUUUUCAUCAUGCUGAGUUCAGAGGAACUCGUGAGUUAUGACAAAAAGAUAUUAUGACUCCCAUGCAGCGGAUGAAGACAUUGAUGCCCAUGAAAGGUAAUUCAGUUCCAACCCCUUCAGUGACAGCAGAGAGACCCAGGCCACCUUCCUUGAGGAUUUCGGAGCUGCAGCCCACAGCCAGGGCCAGAGUGGACUCAGCUCUCCAACCCACGCCCAUGAAUCUCUGCGACUAAAGAUUUCCCCAGACGCUCCCAGGUUCCUCCUGAUCUGCAGCAUUGUCGUCCCUGCCACUGACCAGGAAGCCCUCUGUGCUCCCAUAGCCCCUUCAGAAACCUGUGACUUCCUGAGUCCUAAGUCUUCAGCAGAAACAGCAGCUGCCCCACGCCUUGAGCGGCAGCAGGACCCUUUCUGCCCUGAUCUCCACUCAGCGCUGGAAGCCUGGCUCACAUUCUCUCUACUCACAUCAGCCUGAUGUCUUCAAGCCAGGAUUUCUUGGGGUUUAUCUCACCAGAUGCAAUCAACUCAAGUUCCCUCUGUGGCGCCUUCUCAUUCCCUUAUGCCAAGUCACACUAAAAUACUUGAGAACAGUAUCCAUAAAACGUUCUGAUAUGAUUUUCUUGUUCUAAUUUACAUACUGUGAAUCUGUAAACACAAGACGGAGAUUUGCAUGUGUUGACAUUGUUUGUGACUAAAGGGAUCGUGGCCUCAGAACACACACAUUACGUGGGUGACACGGACAUUACUCAUUUUUGUACAUUUGGAUGCUAAUUGAAUUGGGUGCUUGCCUCCAAUAAGAAUGGAACUUGUUGGCCUCA
Homo sapiens (human) is the source of this 997-nucleotide long non-coding RNA. Ensembl annotates it as long intergenic non-protein coding RNA 3021. NCBI's taxonomy places the organism in Eukaryota, Metazoa, Chordata, Mammalia, Primates, Hominidae. The record is from Ensembl.